UGUGGGCGGGUGGGUGGCGGGGAGCGGUGGCGGUUUACGCGCUUGAACUCUCCGCACGAAUUUCGCCCUUGGCUGCCUCGAAAGUCUCGGCCGGGGCGUUUCGCAAGGAAGUGGGAAUGCAACUUCUUUAAUCUGCCUCAGUAUGGAGGAACCGUCUCUGAGAGUAAGACUGCUUCCCUUUUGACACUGUCAAAGGGCCUUGCGGAAACCAGCAAUGGCACCACCCUCUGUCUGCACUAGUGCAUGUUUUAAUUCAGAUACCAGUGCGGGGGAAGUACAGAUCAUGUGUUCCAUUAUAUUGGAUUCCCUGUAGAACCAGAAAUGAAAUAUUUCAUCCAUGCUUACAAUCUACCCCCAGCAAAUAUAAAUGAGGAUUCUCUAUCAAAAUCCACUUUGCUAACUACUCCAGUAGACUUUCAGAUAAAAUGCCAAAUGCUCUUGUAUUUAGAGAACUACUGCACAAGUUGCAGAUAUAAUAUUUGCUAAGAAGACAACAAAAACAGAGGAUGGCAAUGAGAAGAUGAUGGUGAUAUAUAAAGAUAAAGGAGUGUGUGUGCCCGGUGCUGGGAAGUUCAGAGGACAAAGUACCAGGGCUCCUGCAGUAACGAAAAAAUGCAGAAGGCGGCAUUUUGAAAGUUGGCAAAGGAAAUACGAAACGGCUGGGUCACCUUUCUGAAGCUAACAGGAGAAACCUGACCAUGACCUGAAGAGGAAUUCCAGCUGUUGACCACAUUUGAAUAUCAGGUACAGAAAAGGCAUCUUUUUCUACUGGCCUGUGGAACUUUUUCUCAUAGUGGGCAUCAUGUUACGCAAUGACAGAAUUUAAAUGGAAAUAGGCAAAAUUUAAUUUGAAUUUGAAUUACUCAUAAAAGAACUCCUUGUAUGUUAGUAUUUUUGCCUUAUGCACACAGAAUUAAUAUUGCAUGUAUUAUAGGAAGAAGAUCAUCUAACUCCAAAGCAAAGCAAAUUACAAAGGUAGAAUGCUAUAUGUUCCUUUGAACUUCAAAGAUACAAUUCAGAGGGUAUUUUACAUUAUUGUUGUAUUUCAUUAUAGCUUUCAUAAGCCAAAUAAAAUUUGCUUUUUGUGAAAGAGCUGCAAUUUAAUCCUGCUUGCAACUAAAUUAUGUUGUUUAGUAUCAAAAUUUUAGAUUAAAUUUGCCUUUUUUUUAAAAAAGUAAUCUUCAGUUCUGAUAGUUCAGUGAAGCCCUAUUAUUUUAUUCUUUGGUGCCCUAGAUAAGGAUAUGUUCAUGUGCAUGGUAGGGUUUGGGUUAAAGGAGAAGAUGCCUCGUGCAGAUUUCAGCUGGAGGAAAUAUUUUGCAAAAUCAGCUCUGGUCUGUGCAUAAAACCAGGACAAAAGAGUAAGCACAUAAUGCUCUGGACUCUUCCCCCUGCCAAGGUGGGACAGAGACCAGGUGUUCCAGUAAUAGGAUUUGUGGGGUUUUUUUUGUUUUUUGUUUUUUUAUUUUUUAAUAUAUAUAUAUUAAAACACACACACCAUUUAUUGUUUGAAUGACAAACAUCAGGCUUUGGUGCAAAAUUCAUGCAGCACUGAAGUACUAACUAUUCAGUAGUAUGGUUAUCAGUUUGAUAGCAAAUAAAUCCUGGAGGGAUGCAAAAGGACUGCCUUGUGCUUUUUUAUUUCUUCAGAUGACAAAACAUCUUUAUAAAUAAAAAGCCAUAGUUUCCUGUAAGUAUACAUUUCCAAACCAAAGACUUCUCUUCUUAGUAGAAUGAAAUUGCUGGUCAUCAAUAGAAAGUUGUAUGAGAGUCUAGAAAGGAACUUCUAUACUGUUAUAUUCAAAACAGCCCUCGACAGAAUGAGAUAGUACAUUUUUUUCUGUUUAGGGGGAAAUGAAGAAUGCUCUGUAACUGGUGAAACAACUACUGACCAGAGUGAAGAAACACCUGUUUCACUCAUGUUCAAAAAUUAGUGGUGAUGCUUUGAACAGCCAUCAGGUGGCAGCAUAAGUGUGAAAUAACAUCAUCUACUUUGUAUAAUUACACUGCAAACGUUCUACCAAGUUAGUUACGUGUUUGCAUUCUCUUUUAUAUAAAAGCCCUUAGUCCAGUGCCACUAGUCACAUAGAUGAUACCUAGGGAAAAAUUCUUAUUAGAUUAAGGACCAAUAUUAAAUACACAGAUGUUUACUGUUUUGGGAAUUUGUCAGAAGUGCGAUAUUGGUAGAGUCUUGGGCAGAGUUGGAGAAAAGCCUUUGUCCUUGCAUAUGGGCUGCAAGUAUAUGAUGGACUGGAACAGCUUAGUGGAACAUAUUGGGUAUUUUUGAGCCAUGGUUAGUUAGCCUGCGGAUAAGCCAAGAACUCUGCUGUGGAAUAGCAGACUUCUCAUUUUGUCAGUGGUACUUUUGGUGACUUUUGGAAUAAAUGAAAAAAGGUGAGAACACCAGGAAGAAUAUAGAUAAUUAGAAGGUAUAUUUAAAAAAAAAAAGUAUGGUAUAACUUAUGCAGUGAUAUUUGUUUUAAACAUUCUAGAAGCAUUAUGUAAAUAAGUCUAAUAAUGACCUUUUAAAGUACAGUGGGUAGGAAAAAUAACCAUCCUCAUACGGGUCAACUGAAAAAAAAUCCCCAAGUUGCUUCCUCAAAGCUACACAGCCAGUUAAUGGCAAAGCCCGAAAUAGAACUGACUUGCUCAUUCUCAUAUCUGAUUUAAUUUUUCCAGGCCAUGUUUUCAUUUGUCAUGCAGAAGAAACAAGAUAAAAGCAGCCUUAGAAUCUGUUAGUGUUUUGAUUCAAGGCAAAUAUCCUCUGCCUUGCUGGGCUUUCUGCUGAUGUGUGGGAUUCAGAUUUGUCAUGUACCUGGUGAGACUGGAUUGUGAAUGUAUGCACACACAAUGCGUGCUUUUGAAUGCAUGCGUUUUUCUUCUUUCUUUGAACUCAUUUUAAAAUAAUGGAAUUUCUGUUUAGUGAGAAAUAAAAUUUAAUGCAUCAAAUUUGAAGAAUAAAUGUUCAAGAUAGUGAU
This is a long non-coding RNA of Dromaius novaehollandiae (emu), 2975 nucleotides long. RefSeq lists it as uncharacterized. The record is from RefSeq and is a predicted model, not a curated record. The transcript is spliced from 6 exons. Lineage: Eukaryota; Metazoa; Chordata; Aves; Casuariiformes; Dromaiidae.